Arachis stenosperma is the source of this 1668-nucleotide long non-coding RNA. RefSeq lists it as uncharacterized. Lineage: Eukaryota; Viridiplantae; Streptophyta; Magnoliopsida; Fabales; Fabaceae. The record is from RefSeq and is a predicted model, not a curated record. The transcript has 8 exons.
ACUCCAAACGAAAGCUUCACAGUCAUCUUCCUCUAGUCAUCUUCCUCUCCAUUCACACUCCAAACCUUUCUCCUCAGCGCCUUCAUCCACCGCAUUCUUCCAUCAUCAACACCUUUAGGACUUCCAUCACUCUCGUCGUCGUCAAUCAUCGCUGUUCCUGUCCUGUCCCUUCUCUUCCCUUCUUUUACGAGGAUAAACCCUAAUCCUCCUUCAACGCCUUUUUCUUCUCUUCAAACCUAACACCGAUGCAAGGUAAACGAUGUUAAGAAGAGCAACUGGAGUAUACGUGUUUAUGAUGCUAGUAUGGUCAAAUUGAAGCCAGUAAAUGGGUGUCAAUGAGUGGUCAAAUUGUUGAUGCUAGCAUGGUCAAAUUGAAGCAAGGUAUGAAUGCCGGCUCUCAGAACUGUAUGCUCAAAUCCAGGAUCAUAUAUUCUUUUGAUAUUAAACUCUUAUUGGGAGAGUAAUUUUUUUCAUUUGUUACCUAUCCAAUCAUAUAUGCGCUAGUUCUAAUUGUUCUUGAUUGUAUGGUAUUUGCAAUGUACAGGGAAAACAUCGACAAACCCGUAAAUACUAUGCUACCUACAAUGCUCUUUUGGAAAUUAAAGAAUUGAUACUAAAGGAAACAUCCUUAUUGAAUUCAAUCAUUUCACAGUUUCAAGAGGCCUUCAGUAGUAUGGAUGGUCGUGCAAAACUUGUUCAUUCCAUGGAAGGAAUUCUCAAGGGCAGUCAACAGAUUCACUAAUUAACAAACAAAAAUGGGUGCCAAUGCCAAAGGUGGAGUUGCAUGCUCAUCUCAAUGGAUUCAUUCACUAAUUAACAAACAAGAACAUGAGAAGAGUUUGAGACAGGGGAGUGUGAAACAAGGGAUUCAUGUAGUGAUACCUUGAGCGAUGAUAGAUUGGUGAUGGCGUGGGUGUAAAGUCUUUAAGCAAAGCACGGGACUUGGAAUGAUUGCUGGCCAGGUUACUAGGUUAAGACAAGAUAAUCAUCACUUGUUUUGCCCUAGAUAUUUUGCAUAUUCUUUGUUUCUGGCAAAAGCUUUAUCAGAAAGAGGGGAAGCGAAGGUGGGCGCACCUUGCGAGCACAGAAGAAUGUCAUGAAAUGCCCUUCAUGUUCAAUUGACAUAGCUGAAUUUCUUCAGAACCCAGAGGUUAACAGACACAUGAUGAGCGCGAUAGAAACCCUCCUCCGCGAGGCUGGGAUAGAAUAGACUUCUGAAGUGUCUAAUGACAAAAAUGAUGAAAAUAUAGAGACUGUGAAUGAUGAUGAUGGGACAGAAGUUUCAAAGCAUUGUGAUUCAUGUGAGAAUGUCCUAGAGGAGAUCAAGGACAAUGAUUUGAAUCAGCCACACAAGCGUAGAAAGGGUGCUGGUAAUUCAGCUAUUGUGAACAGUGAGGAGCAAAUCGAUGUGGCAAUAGAUUAGAUUGGAGUCUACCAUGGAGUGAAGAAUCAUGUAACUCAGAUUAGAUUGGAGAGUUUAAACUUUAAAGAGAGCAUGAGGAAAUAGUUUUAAAAUUUAGGCUGAAAGUCCUGUCCUUCUCUGUUGUAGUUUAAAAGAAAUUUUGGGGUAUCUUUUUAUUGAGACAGUGAGAUAUUGGAUAAUGGUGUUGAAAAAUAACAUCCAAUUUUAUAGGUAUCAUAUAAUGAAUAUUAUGUUUAUCUAUGUGA